Molecule: ribosomal RNA, 468 nt
Filed under: uncultured bacterium
Lineage: Bacteria
Description: partial 16S ribosomal RNA
Rfam family: Bacterial small subunit ribosomal RNA
Source: RNAcentral
GAUGAACGCUGGCGGCGUGCUUAACACAUGCAAGUCGAACGGUGAAGGCGGAGCUUGCUCUGCUGGAUCAGUGGCGAACGGGUGAGUAACACGUGAGCAAUCUGCCCCUGACUCUGGGAUAAGCGCUGGAAACGGCGUCUAAUACUGGAUACGAGCUGCGAAGGCAUCUUCAGCAGCUGGAAAGAACUUCGGUCAGGAAUGGGCUCGCGGCCUAUCAGCUUGUUGGUGAGGUAACGGCUCACCAAGGCGUGGACGGGUAGCCGGCCUGAGAGGGUGACCGGCCACACUGGGACUGAGACACGGCCCAGACUCCUACGGGAGGCAGCAGUGGGGAAUAUUGCACAAUGGGCGAAAGCCUGAUGCAGCAACGCCGCGUGAGGGACGACGGCCUGCGGGUUGUAAACCUCUUUUAGCAGGGAAGAAGCGAAAGUGACGGUACCUGCAGAAAAAGCGCCGGCUAACUACGUG